This 253-nucleotide ribosomal RNA is filed under the name uncultured bacterium. RNAcentral's name for it is "partial 16S ribosomal RNA". It matches the Rfam family "Bacterial small subunit ribosomal RNA", at positions 524 to 776 of the family's 1533-position model. The record is from RNAcentral.
UACGAAGGGGGCUAGCGUUGCUCGGAAUCACUGGGCGUAAAGGGCGCGUAGGCGGCUUGCAUAGUCGGUGGUGAAAUCCUGCAGCUUAACUGUAGAAGUGCCUCCGAUACUAGCAAGCUCGAGGGAGGUAGGGGUCUGCGGAACUUCUGGUGGAGCGGUGAAAUGCGUUGAUAUCAGAAGGAACGCCGGUGGCGAAAGCGGCGGACUGGACCUCUUCUGACGCUGAGGCGCGAAAGCUAGGGGAGCAAACGGG